This 408-nucleotide long non-coding RNA is filed under the name Pongo abelii (Sumatran orangutan). RNAcentral's name for it is "lincRNA". Lineage: Eukaryota; Metazoa; Chordata; Mammalia; Primates; Hominidae. The record is from RNAcentral.
GAGCCUCACGGAUUUGCUCAUCACCCUCUGAACACCUGUUGCCUUCUCAUUCCUCUGUGUCUUUGCACAUCCUUUCCCCAACUUCGUGCCAGGCCAUUGCAUUGUGAUCCAGGCUCAGUCUUUGUUCUGCUUCGUGGUAUCACAGUCCCUUAUUUGAAACUGAACCAGGACUGGAGUCUUCAACUUUGACAUCAAAUUUGAUACCUCAGUGGCCCAAGCUUUCAGAAACUUGGAAUUGCAGAGAUUAUGGAUUUGGACCUGCCCUCAGAGGAGCUACCUACUGAAAUAUUUACAAGUGAAAUGAUGUGGGAUGUGGGAUUUGAUUCAAAAUGAUCCUUUAUGUAUGAAGAGUGGGGCAUGGAGAACGCAUGAAGAUACAGAUAAAAUAAACGUGUCUAUGGGUUAAUA